Molecule: long non-coding RNA, 1478 nt
Organism: Amaranthus tricolor (Joseph's coat)
Lineage: Eukaryota; Viridiplantae; Streptophyta; Magnoliopsida; Caryophyllales; Amaranthaceae
Exons: 3
Source: RefSeq, a predicted model, not a curated record
ACCCAUUUUCCCCAAUUUCCAUUCACUUCUCGUCACUUUCACCGCCAUUCCCCUUCUUCUUCCUUCUCAUUCCUUCUUCUUUCUCAUGUAAACCGACCUUCCCUUAUAUCUAAAUCCUUCUUUUUUUUCUUCUUCUUCUUUCGUUUAAUCAAGGUAUCAUCUCAACAUGCCAUUUUCAAGUGAAUUCCACCUCUUCUUUCAUUCGAUUUUCAUUUGAAAUUAGGGUGGAGAAUGGUUCUUUUGGCUUCGAAAUUUAGGGCAAAAGCAAGCUUCAAUCACCUUAUACAUCCGAGUUCACAAGAGACCACGUGUAUUUCUCAAUCUUCUUCUUCCUCUGAAUUUCGAAAGGCUGCAUGAAAUCAAAGUAGCAAUCGAAAUCCUUUCCCUUGUCUUUGAAUUCUGCCGGUUUAGGGGGGAAAGAGGGAGCUUCAAUCUUGUGGAUUAAACAUCAAAUUCAAAUCAAGAAUCAAGCAUUGAAUCCGAUUUCCAUCUCGUUUUUUUUUGGUAACUGGAACGAAAGGAAGCGACUUUAUCGAAGAGCCCUUCUAGUAAUCGCGGGGUAGCAGAUUUGGCCUCUUGAAGCGUUCUUUUUGCUGAUUACAGAUCGGAUCCGGUCGGGAAUAAUCGGGUUAGCAAUGUUGAUGAGAGUGCUAAGGAUGUCCUUUUGAGCUGAGGCCGUGGAAGCUUAUAGUUGUAUUAGGAAUUGUUUAAUGUAUAUUAGUUCUGAUUAGUUUUGAUUAUGUUAAUUAUAAUGGACUCGUAGUGAGUUGUAUGGUUACUUUAUGUUUAGAUUAGAUAUUGGGUUUGAGAUUUAGCUGGUGGUUCCUUUGCCCAGGUUUUGGGAUAUGAUUUUUAAGUUUCUUGGGAAGUAAUCCCCGUGACGACCCUGUUUACCCAGUCAACGGUAAGUCGGGUUGUUACAGUUGUUAUUAUUAGUGUUAACAUAAUAUUAAAUUUUAUUGGGUUAUAGGGUAUCUUCUUAAUUAAGUUUAAUGGUUGGUAAAGUCUUCCUAAAAUUAAAGCAGCAAACGAUCGUUAAAAUUGGAUUAAUGAACACUAAGACUUUAUUAUCUCGGGUACAAAUAGUAAGCUAAUAUAAAAAGGUUGACAGGGGAUUUACAAGGAUACUACAAGUCCUAUUACCGCCUAUUCAUAUAAAAGUAGUAAUUAAUCAAUGAUUAAAAAUAAUCUUGCCAAUGACUAAAAGUCUAAAAUACAUGUUGCUACUACUUUCUCAAAUUGAUUUACUAUCUUAUAUACUUGUCAAAUUUUAUUAUCUUGUAUUAAGCUUAAACUUUUUGCUUUACAUAUUUUCUACUAAAAAAAAGUACUUUUUACAACUAGUAAUCACAAUCUCUGUGGAAUCGACCUCUAUCUGCCACUUACAAUAUUUAACAAGUUGUUAUAAGAUGAAAUAUAAUUUAAAUUUGUGCGCAUACAACAACAUCCAAUCAUCAUCAUCAUACCAGUGUAUCCCG